RNAcentral lists this ribosomal RNA (359 nucleotides) under uncultured Thermosynechococcaceae cyanobacterium. Its description in RNAcentral is "bacterial SSU rRNA". It matches the Rfam family "Bacterial small subunit ribosomal RNA", at positions 524 to 881 of the family's 1533-position model. The record is from RNAcentral. Lineage: Bacteria; Bacillati; Cyanobacteriota; Cyanophyceae; Acaryochloridales; Thermosynechococcaceae.
GACGGAGGAGGCAAGCGUUAUCCGGAAUUAUUGGGCGUAAAGCGUCCGCAGGUGGCCCAUCAAGUCUGCUGUUAAAGCCCAGGGCUCAACCCUGGAUCAGCAGUGGAAACUGGUGGGCUAGAGUGCGGUAGGGGCAGAGGGAAUUCCCGGUGUAGCGGUGAAAUGCGUAGAGAUCGGGAAGAACACCAGUGGCGAAAGCGCUCUGCUGGACCGCAACUGACACUCAUGGACGAAAGCUAGGGGAGCGAAUGGGAUUAGAUACCCCAGUAGUCCUAGCCGUAAACGAUGGACACUAGGUGUUGCGCGUAUCGACCCGUGCAGUGCCGUAGCCAACGCGUUAAGUGUCCCGCCUGGGGAGU